Molecule: ribosomal RNA, 891 nt
Filed under: uncultured archaeon
Lineage: Archaea
Description: bacterial SSU rRNA
Rfam family: Archaeal small subunit ribosomal RNA
Source: RNAcentral
CCCGCCGGACCCCACUGCUAUCGAGAUGGGACUAAGCCAUGCUAGUCGAACGACCCGAACUAUGGCGGGUAGUGGCAGACUGCUCAGUAACACGUAGCUAACCUACCCUCGGGACGGGUAUAACCCCGGGAAACUGAGGUUAAUACCCGAUAGGUGUGGAUUCCUGGAAUGGUGCCACGCUUAAAAGUUGUCCACCCAUGUUGUGUACACACGCCCGAGGAUGGGGCUGCGGCCGAUCAGGCAGUUGGUGAGGUAAUGGCUCACCAAACCUUUGACCGGUACGGGCCGUGAGAGCGGUAGCCCGGAGAUGGGCACUGAGACAAGGGCCCAGGCCCUACGGGGCGCAGCAGGCGCGAAACCUCCACAAUGCACGCAAGUGCGAUGGGGUUAUCUCGAGUGCCGCCUGAAGAAGGUGGCUUUUCCAUGGUGUAUGAUCGUGGGAAUAAGGGGGGGGCAAGACUGGUGUCAGCCGCCGCGGUAACACCAGCUCCCCGAGUGGUGGGGAUGAUUAUUUGGCCUAAAGCGUCCGUAGCCGGCUGAGUAAAUUUCUCGUUAAAUCCAACGUCCUAAGCGUUGGGCUGCGAGAAAGACUGCUCAGCUAGAGGGUGGGAGAGGUCAGCGGUAUUCCUGGGGUAGGGGCGAAAUCCAUUGAUCCCAGGAGGACCACCAGUGGCGAAGGCUGCUGACUAGAACACGCCUGACGGUGAGGGACGAAAGCUGGGGUAGCGAAUCGGAUUAGAUACCCGAGUAGUCCCAGCCGUAAACGAUGCAGGCUAGGUGUUGGGUCGGCCAUGGGCCGCCUCAGUGCCACAGGGAAGCCAUUAAGCCUGCCGCCUGGGGAGUACGGCCGCAAGGCUGAAACUUAAAGGAAUUGGCGGGGGAGCACCACCA